CCUACGGGAGGCAGCAGUAAGGAAUCUUCCACAAUGGACGAAAGUCUGAUGGAGCAACGCCGCGUGCAGGAUGAAGGCUUUCGGGUCGUAAACUGCUUUUAUAUGGGAAGAUUAUGACGGUACCAUAUGAAUAAGGACCGGCUAACUACGUGCCAGCAGCCGCGGUAAUACGUAGGGUCCAAGCGAUAUCCGGAAUUACUGGGCGUAAAGCGUGUGUAGGUGGAUUAAUAAGUGUGAUGCGAAAUCCGGCGGCUCAACCGUUUGGACUGUGUCGCAUACUGUUAGUCUAGAGGACGGCAGAGGUAAGUGGAAUUACGGGUGUAGCAGUGAAAUGCGUAGAUAUCCGUAGGAACACCAAUGGCGAAGGCAGCUUACUGGGCCACACCUGACACUGAGACACGAAAGCGUGGGGAGCGAACAGGAUUAGAUACCCUGGUAGUCCACGCCGUAAACGAUGCAUACUAUUAGUAUGGGGUAUCGACCCCCUGUGCUGAGAAGCUAACGCGAUAAGUAUGCCGCCGNGGAGACGAGCGCAGACUAACUACAANAGAGUAGAGCGNGAGACGNGCGACGACGACGACGAGGGAGAGG
This 591-nucleotide ribosomal RNA is filed under the name uncultured bacterium. RNAcentral describes it as "bacterial SSU rRNA". The stretch from base 1 to 520 matches the Rfam family "Bacterial small subunit ribosomal RNA", at positions 338 to 873 of the family's 1533-position model. The record is from RNAcentral.